RNAcentral lists this ribosomal RNA (254 nucleotides) under uncultured bacterium. RNAcentral's name for it is "partial 16S ribosomal RNA". It matches the Rfam family "Bacterial small subunit ribosomal RNA", at positions 524 to 776 of the family's 1533-position model. The record is from RNAcentral.
GACGAACCGUGCGAACGUUAUUCGGAAUCAUUGGGCUUAAAGGGCGCGUAGGCGGCGGUGUAAGUUGGAAGUGAAAUCCCAUCGGCUCAACCGUGGAAUUGCUCCCAGUACUGCAUCGCUCGAGGGGGAUAGGGGUCUGCGGAACUACCGGUGGAGCGGUGAAAUGUGUUGAUAUCGGUGGGAACGCCAGUGGCGAAAGCGGCAGACUAGACCCUUCCUGACGCUGAUGCGCGAAAGCUAGGGGAGCAAACGGG